GUGUGUGUUUGUGUUAGUGUGUGUGUGUUAGUGUGUGUGUGUGUGUGUGUGUGUGUGUGUGUGUGUCUGUGUGUGUGUGUGUGUGUCUGUGUGUGUGUGUGUGUGUGUGUGUGUGUGUCUGUCUGUGUGUGUGUGUGUGUGUGUGUGUGUGUGUGUCUGUGUGUGUGUGUGUGUGUGUGUGUGUGUGUGUGUGUGUGUGUGUGUGAAUAGGGGGGAGGGUGGUUUGUCACCGGUGAGACAGUGACGAGCAGUGCCCCAGUGUGGUAUUUUCCCAUCAAGGUGCAGAAACAGCUUUGUGGUGUGUGUAAGUGUGUUAGCGUGUGUGUGUGUGUGUGUGUGUGUGUGUUUGUGUGUGUGUGUUAGUGUGUGUGAGUCAGUGUGUGUGUGUGUGUUAGUGUGUGUGUGAGUUAGUGUGUGUGAGUUAGUGUGUGUUAGUGUGUGUGUGAGUUAGUGUGUGUUAGACUGAGAAUGUGUGCCUUGACUCUGGGA
Molecule: long non-coding RNA, 489 nt
Organism: Clupea harengus (Atlantic herring)
Lineage: Eukaryota; Metazoa; Chordata; Actinopteri; Clupeiformes; Clupeidae
Source: Ensembl